GCAAGACAACUAUAAAGUAAGAACUGUAAGUAUGCAUACAAUGACUGCUACUAUAAACAUAUGCGUCAACCGGUUAAGAAGUCCAAAAGUACCCAAUCUGAAACCAAUGCUCUCUUGGUCAGCACCGCAGACCUCAAGCCAAUGCCCUGGAGGUCCGCACCGCAACACCUCCCGACAGUACCACUGCCGCUCUAACAUGCAUAUAACCC
This 209-nucleotide long non-coding RNA is filed under the name Ananas comosus (pineapple). RNAcentral's name for it is "long non-coding RNA (ACOM_LNC043155)". Lineage: Eukaryota; Viridiplantae; Streptophyta; Magnoliopsida; Poales; Bromeliaceae. The record is from RNAcentral.